UACGUAGGCAGCGAGCGUUGUUCGGAAUUACUGGGCGUAAAGAGUGUGUAGGCGGUGCUCUAAGUCUGUCGUGAAAUCUCCCGGCUUAACUGGGAGGGUGCGGCGGAAACUGGAGUGCUAGAGGGUGGGAGAGGAAAGCGGAAUUCCUGGUGUAGCGGUGAAAUGCGUAGAUAUCAGGAGGAACACCUGCGGUGUAGACAGCUUUCUGGACCGCUUCUGACGCUGAGACACGAAAGCGUGGGUAGCAAACAGG
RNAcentral lists this ribosomal RNA (253 nucleotides) under uncultured bacterium. Its description in RNAcentral is "partial 16S ribosomal RNA". It matches the Rfam family "Bacterial small subunit ribosomal RNA", at positions 524 to 776 of the family's 1533-position model. The record is from RNAcentral.